CAGCAAUGCCGCGUGUGUGAAGAAGGCCUUCGGGUUGUAAAGCACUUUUGUCCGGAAAGAAAUCGCGCUGGUUAAUACCUGGCGUGGAUGACGGUACCGGAAGAAUAAGCACCGGCUAACUACGUGCCAGCAGCCGCGGUAAUACGUAGGGUGCGAGCGUUAAUCGGAAUUACUGGGCGUAAAGCGUGCGCAGGCGGUUUGAUAAGACAGGCGUGAAAUCCCCGAGCUCAACUUGGGAAUGGCGCUUGUGACUGUCAGGCUAGAGUAUGUCAGAGGGGGGUAGAAUUCCACGUGUAGCAGUGAAAUGCGUAGAGAUGUGGAGGAAUACCGAUGGCGAAGGCAGCCCCCUGGGACGUCACUGACGCUCAUGCACGAAAGCGUGGGGAGCAAACAGGAUUAGAUACCCUGGUAGUCCACGCCCUAAACGAUGUCAACUAGUUGUUGGGGAUUCAUUUCU
RNAcentral lists this ribosomal RNA (457 nucleotides) under Cupriavidus sp. L7L. Its description in RNAcentral is "bacterial SSU rRNA". It matches the Rfam family "Bacterial small subunit ribosomal RNA", at positions 389 to 839 of the family's 1533-position model. Lineage: Bacteria; Pseudomonadati; Pseudomonadota; Betaproteobacteria; Burkholderiales; Burkholderiaceae. The record is from RNAcentral.